ACUCCUCCGGGAGGCAGCAGUGAGGAAUAUUGGACAAUGGGUGGAAGCCUGAUCCAGCCAUCCCGCGUGCAGGAAGACGGCCCUAUGGGUUGUAAACUGCUUUUAUCUGGGGAUAAACCUACUUACGUGUAAGUAGCUGAAGGUACCAGAAGAAUAAGCACCGGCUAACUCCGUGCCAGCAGCCGCGGUAAUACGGAGGGUGCAAGCGUUAUCCGGAUUUAUUGGGUUUAAAGGGUCCGUAGGCGGACUGAUAAGUCAGUGGUGAAAUCCGACAGCUUAACUGUCGAACUGCCAUUGAUACUGUUAGUCUUGAGUAAGGUUGAAGUGGCUGGAAUAAGUAGUGUAGCGGUGAAAUGCAUAGAUAUUACUUAGAACACCAAUUGCGAAGGCAGGUCACUAAGUCUUAACUGACGCUGAUGGACGAAAGCGUGGGGAGCGAACAGGAUUAGAAACCCGAGUAGUCCCAUGA
This 469-nucleotide ribosomal RNA is filed under the name uncultured organism. RNAcentral describes it as "partial 16S ribosomal RNA". It matches the Rfam family "Bacterial small subunit ribosomal RNA", at positions 335 to 800 of the family's 1533-position model. The record is from RNAcentral.